Molecule: ribosomal RNA, 1522 nt
Filed under: uncultured rumen bacterium 4C0d-8
Lineage: Bacteria
Description: bacterial SSU rRNA
Rfam family: Bacterial small subunit ribosomal RNA
Source: RNAcentral
AGAGUUUGAUCCUGGCUCAGGAUGAACGCUAGCUACAGGCCUAACACAUGCAAGUCGAGGGGCAGCGGGGGCAGAGCUUGCUCUGCCUGCCGGCGACCGGCGCACGGGUGCGUAACGCGUAUCGAACCUCCCCCAUACUCGGGAAUAGCCUUGCGAAAGUAAGAUUAAUGCCCGAUGGUCUCAGAAUAUGACAUCAUGCUUUGAGUAAAGAUUCAUCGGUAUGGGAUGGCGAUGCGUCUGAUUAGAUAGUUGGCGGGGUAACGGCCCACCAAGUCGUCGAUCAGUAGGGGUUCUGAGAGGAAGGUCCCCCACAUUGGAACUGAGACACGGUCCAAACUCCUACGGGAGGCAGCAGUGAGGAAUAUUGGUCAAUGGUCGGAAGACUGAACCAGCCAAGUAGCGUGAAGGAUGACUGCCCUACGGGUUGUAAACUUCUUUUAUGCGGGAAUAAAGUGCCCCACGCGUGGGGUAUUGCAUGUACCGCGUGAAUAAGCAUCGGCUAAUUCCGUGCCAGCAGCCGCGGUAAUACGGAAGAUGCGAGCGUUAUCCGGAUUUAUUGGGUUUAAAGGGAGCGUAGGCGGAGGCUUAAGUCAGUGGUCAAAUCGUGUGGCUCAACCAUGCGUCGCCGUUGAUACUGGGUCUCUUGAGUGCACAUAAGGAUGGUGGAAUUCGUCGUGUAGCGGUGAAAUGCUUAGAUAUGACGAAGAACUCCGAUUGCGAAGGCAGCUGUCCGGGGUGUAACUGACGCUAAUGCUCGAAAGUGCGGGUAUCAAACAGGAUUAGAUACCCUGGUAGUCCGCACAGUAAACGAUGGAUACCCGCAGUCGGCGACACAAUGUCGGCUGCCAAGCGAAAGCAUUAAGUAUCCCACCUGGGGAGUACGCCGGCAACGGUGAAACUCAAAGGAAUUGACGGGGGCCCGCACAAGCGGAGGAACAUGUGGUUUAAUUCGAUGAUACGCGAGGAACCUUACCCGGGCUUGAAUUGCAGGCGACGGGGCGAGAGAUUGCCCUUUCUUCGGACGCCUGUGAAGGUGCUGCAUGGUCGUCGUCAGCUCGUGCCGUGAGGUGUCGGCUCAAGUGCCAUAACGAGCGCAACCCCUGUCUCCAGUUGCCAUCAGGUGAUGCUGGGCACUCUGGAGAUACUGCCAUCGCAAGAUGUGAGGAAGGUGGGGAUGACGUCAAAUCAGCACGGCCCUUACGUCCGGGGCUACACACGUGUUACAAUGGGGGACACAGAGGGCCGCCACCGGGUGACCGGGCGCCAAUCCAUCAAAAUCCCUCUCAGUUCGGACUGGAGUCUGCAACCCGACUCCACGAAGCUGGAUUCGCUAGUAAUCGCGCAUCAGCCAUGGCGCGGUGAAUACGUUCCCGGGCCUUGUACACACCGCCCGUCAAGCCAUGAAAGCCUGGGGUGCCUGAAGUCCGUGACCGCGAGGAUCGGCCUAGGGUAAAACAGGUGAUUGGGGCUAAGUCGUAACAAGGUAGCGUACCGGAAGGUGCGGNUGGAUCACCUCCUUUCU